This 74-nucleotide transfer RNA is filed under the name Candidatus Magasanikiibacteriota bacterium. RNAcentral describes it as "tRNA-Ile". It matches the Rfam family "tRNA". From Rfam's summary of the family: Transfer RNA (tRNA) molecules are approximately 80 nucleotides in length. Their secondary structure includes four short double-helical elements and three loops (D, anti-codon, and T loops). Lineage: Bacteria; Candidatus Magasanikiibacteriota. The record is from RNAcentral.
GGGCCAGUAGCUCAGUCGGUAAGAGCACCACCCUUAUAAGGUGGGGGUCGGUGGUUCGAGUCCACCCUGGCCUA